GGCGCCCACCGUAAGCCUCCCGGGCCUUGUGAACCUGCAAACCCAAGUCUGAGAGACGAUCCGCCUUCAGCGCUUUCCAGCUUGGCAGAGAGGCUUUCCCGGCGGGGAUCUUUGGUUGGCGCUGGCGAUGCGCGGGGAAGAAAGGCGAGGAGCGGCGUCCAGGCUGGGUGAUGUCCCAGCACGAGUAGGCGGGAUGCGCUCGCUUGGUCCUCCGGGCGCCCGGUCCCUGCCCGCGUCGCGCGCCCACCCCUGGGGACGAGAAGGCGGCCGCCUGAGGACCCCCGCCCGCGACCUCCGCGAGUCUGGAGCGCAGAGGACAGGGUCUGGCUGCUCUUUGGCCUUGGAUGGAAAGUGGGGAAUUGGGUGGGGGGCUGCGGACCCCUUAACGUGGAUUACUUGGUGUGUAUCAGCUGGGCUCAGAAGACCCACGACCUCUUCUCCAUCCGUGGAUUGAUUUGUUCUGCUUAACAGCUGGGUCGCCAAGCUGGAGGUGGAAUCAGAGGUUUCUGGCUGACUCGGUGGGUGCUUUGAACCAGGAAAGGACAAGAAAGAGGAACUCUGAAAGCCACAUGUUGAGAUGGCCCCAUUACAGGAUGGAGAGCACCUGAACCCCCAAGUUAUGGACUAGAAGAAGACAGUUGCCCUGGAAAAUCAUCUGACCCACAUUGGACUUUAUGUGAGGGGGAAAUAAACCUUUAUUAUGUUAAGCUACACAAUAAUAAAUAACAACAAUAAUUGUGUUUAUUUGU
Molecule: long non-coding RNA, 749 nt
Filed under: Homo sapiens (human)
Lineage: Eukaryota; Metazoa; Chordata; Mammalia; Primates; Hominidae
Description: HSALNT0391440
Source: RNAcentral